CCUGGAGUUGAAAUGAUUAUGAAUAUUAUGUAGUGUGUAAAUGUAUUUUUGCUGCUGCUAUAUGUGGGGGAAGUGUGUUUUCUGAAUUAGUUUCUUAAAGCAGUCAAAAACUGUAUGUAAACUAAACAGUUCUUAUAUUGCUUACUUAAAUAUAAAUAGUGGAUUUCUUCACAAAGGUUGUUCAUGAUAUACUGUAUUGUUAUCAAAACUUGCAGUACUUUGUUUAUCGUUUAUUCACAUUCAUCAUUUGAACCAUAAUCAGCAAUCACAACAGAUGUAAAUUGGGGUCCUGUGACAUUUACAUAAGACAUAUAAGUGUAUACAAACUACUGUAGAACAUAACAAGAUGAAAAUAAUUCAAUUUAAAAAACAUUUUUUUUAAAAAUGUUUACUAAGAAAUGCAGCAUGUUUUUAUCAUUCUACUUGUUUUUCGAUGUUGUCAUCAUGCUUUCGUAUUCCAGACAUAUUGUCUUUAAUCUUUCUGAUGCUUUGACAUUUAUAAAAUUCAUUUUCUUGUAUAUCUCUUUCUAUAGAAAAAGAAAAAGAGAGAGAUGGAUCAACACGAAUGUCUUUAGAGUCACGUUUUCCUGAAAAGAACUGGGAAGAAGCAAUCUCUUUCUUCAAAGGAAGCUCAUGACAUGAUCCGUGCCCAAUGCUGUGCUGUGUUCAUGUUUCUACGGCCAUCUAGCAUGCUUCCAUGAAGAUGAUGUCACAGAAAUAAUGUGGUGUUGUUUUGAGAUGAAUGAUUUUUAUUUGGAGUUUAUGUAUCUAUGGAGAUAAAAUGAUAUUCCAUGGCGAUACAACAAAGUUGCUAUGGUUAUGUUAUUUUCUAUGGAGAUACAAUGAUGUUAAUAUGAAGAUAACAGUAUGGUGUUUCUAUGGAUAUACAGUAGUAUGCAGUAUUUCUAUGGAAAUAAACUGUUGUUUCAAUUCAGAUACAUUUAAUGUUCCCAUGGAUGUAAAAUGUUGAUGGGAUAUACUAUCAAUUUCCAUGAUCAAUCUAAACAAUGGUAAAAUGCUAAUAUGAUGCAAGUGAUAAAUGUGCCAAUCCUGCAAACUGCCAACCUAUUUUGCUGAAAUACUAAAAAUGUGUUGCAAUUUUAUAUUGAAUUCUUCCAACAAACAUACGUAUUGUGUAUACCUUUCUACAUUGUCCCUUUGCUAUAAUGUUUAUAAUCUUCAUUUUAGGUUUCUUUAUUUAUGGUAAAACUGUACAUUACACGCACAUAAGAAUACGGAGGUGAUUAAAGCAUGCAUGCACAUCACCAAGGAUAUGGCAUCAAACCCUCAUAAAGGUGUUAAUAUUAUAUUAUUUGUGUUCGCUUCUAUACAAACCUGUCAAAAAGUUAUAAAACUAUACCUGCAAAAAAAUGAAAAAUGUAUGAAAAAUCAAUUAAAAAAAAUUGUGAAACACCAUGAAAUAAGCCUAAUUAAACUUUAUUAUUAAGCAAAUGAAAAUAUGUCGAAAUGUGUAGAAAAAAAAUUUGCAAAAUAAGUGUCAGCGAAGAAAAUGCACAACGCUAAAAAGAAAAUGAAAGAAUGGUCCACUAAAAAAUAGGCCUAACAUUAGUUAUAGUUAGAUUUCUAUGCAGCGCUGCCCCCAAAAUGUCUCUGAAUGCUACUGUCCAGCCUGUAUUUUUUCUGAAUUGAGCUUUUAAAAAUAAGCUAAAUUUCAGAGUAGUGUAUGCCAAGGCAACCAAUGUUGGAGUAAACAUUCUCUCGCUCACAAAGCCAAACCUUCACCCUCCAUUAAUCAGGAUUGGUUAAUUAGCUGCCAAUGCCUUCAGUAUCAAAAUAUCUGGUUACCAUCUCAAAUUCUUUCAUUCCAAAACUAACAUUAAACAAUUAAGUUUUAGUGAAAGUACAUAAAUUCUUAGAGUGCUAAACUCUGGGAUUUGUGUAUGUUUAAAAGCAUUACUUUUUACCAGUUAUUACUCCCAGUACCUUACCCCCUCUAUUAUAAAUUUCAUAAGUUUAUGCUUCAUGUAAUUACAGUCCAUAGAAGCAGACUGUUCUAUACAUAAUAUACAACUUUUUUUUAUUACAUUUAUUUAUUUAUUUAUUUAUUUGAACCAUAUUUAAUGAGGGUGAACCAUUCAACAACUGCUAAUCACUUGACACCCUCAACAAUGAUAUGGUAUGCCUACCAUAUCCAAAUUAUUUACCACUGCUCAUUCCCUUCCCCUUCUCUGUCAGAUCUCCUUUCCAAGGCUCAGAUACCUAUCCCCAGCUCAUGUCUUCACCCAGCUCAGGUAUUGGUCUUAUUAUGUUCCCAUUCUCAUCAUCAUCCCACCUUCUCAAAUUAUGGGUGUGCUGCUCCAAUAAACUUAAGAUGAGAAUACAGUGUGCAAACACAUUGUGUCUGCUGCCCCCUAGUGUUUAACUAACAUAUUUUUUUUUUCAAAUGACCAAGACAUAAGACGUAUCAGCAGAUUAUUGUAGCAUUACACACAAGUGUAGUUUGUCUUUAAGAUUUAGAAAACAAAACUCGAAAAUCCUUGUUGUUUCUUAGUCUUUUGUUUUACGAAGCCAAUGUCCUCAUAAAACUCGUACAGAAAUGCAAGUACUUUCCUUUUGGAUUAAAUAAGCAAAUAUGUUGGCGAAAAUAAAAGUUUUGCUUAUGUGGUAAGCUGAAUUUUAACUAUGAAAAAGGCAAAAUAACAUUCCUUGUUAAAGGUGUAUUAGUGUUAUGCAUGUUGAUGGAGAGUAAGGCAGAGACUAUAUUUAUUUUUGAAUUGUAAAUGACUCAUGUUUAUCUGUUAAACAAACAAAAAACUUGUUUCUUUACUUGCAUUUUAUUUAAUAUAUUAACAGUUUCUAUUAUUUGUACAAAAUCCUAUUCAUAAAUAUUGACAUAUAAUAAAUGCAAUUAUAUAAAUUAUUUCUGUAUCUUUAGUUGACAUUAGAAAAUGAUAUGAAAAUAUGAAAUGUGGAAAUAGAAGUAAGGAGUAGAAUGCUUCCCCAAAUAUUGAUACUUAACACCAUACCAAAAUAAUAAGUAUUAUUUAAGUCCUUAUUUUUCAUAAUUUAUGGUUAUUUUGUUAAUUUUUGUCUGUUAAUUUUGUAUAAUUUUUUUUUGUUUUUGUUGUGCAUUGAUAUGAUAAAUAGAUUAUUCAUAUCAAAUAUUAAUAACACAACUUAAAAAACAGAUGUGCAUUAGUGUUUUUAUACUUUUACAAUUAAAUAUUAAGUAUAGGCCUAAGUCUAUUUCUGAACUCCAUAACAGAUUUUGUUCACCAACUUAAUACUUUUCUCCAUGGUUUUUUUUUUUAUGCAUUAUCAAUUUUCCUAUGCAGUAUCUAUAUUUUAUAUUGUUCUGAACUUGAUAAAGGCUUAUAGCUGAAAGACCUUUUUUAUUAAUUUGCUAAUUUAAUAUAUUUGAUAGUCAAAUAUACUAUCCUACCAUAUCUCUCUUAAUUUCGUUAAAUUAUUUUUUUUAUUAACAUUUGAUUUUCUGUCACGCCUGAUCAAUGUUUUAAUGGUCACUAAUUGGUCAUUCAGAUUGCAGAUUUAUAUUUUUUUGGUUAUGCUAGGUUUGCCUACUUUUACACAUUGAAAAUUAGCACAGGAACAACAGAUUUUAUUUUCGUUUAAAUUGACUGCCAAUUAGGCCAUAUUUGUGGAAACAAUAUUAGCUAAAAAAAAUCAGUGUUCCUAAAGGUUAUGUUGAAACUGCUUACUCCAUAUGUAUCUAUCUGUUGCAACAGUGUAUAGAUAUAUACUGUUGCAACAUAUGCAAUAUUCAUAUUAUAUAUAUAUAUAUAUAUAUAUAUAUAUAUAUAUAUAAUAUAGUUAUUACUCUUGAUAUAUAAAUAUUAUUGCGUGGAAAUGUGUUUAUGAACAAUAAUUUAUCAUCGUCCUUUAUGAUUCAUUGAUGGGUUGUGAUGCAAGCAAAUCGACAAUGUUGUUGUAAGUAAAGUUAAUAAACAGAUGUUAAAAUUAAUACCAAAUUAUGGUAGUUUUUAAUCUAAAAAAUUAGAUUUAAAGUUUGUCAUCUGGUGGUUACAUCAUCUCACGAAUACAAUAAUGCGGUUAUUAUUUUUUCAUAUGUUUCUUGUUUUAAUAUUAAACUUUAUAUUCACACCUUGGCUUUAGAUUCGAGUAGACACGAUUUCAGUAUUUUCUCGUUUUUCGUUUCCAUAAUUUCUGAUGUCAUAUUUAUUGUUUUAAUAUGUAUUUUUUUUUUUUUAGGCUUAACUAUUUCUGAUAUUAAUGCGUUAAUUUCGUAUUUUUAUACUACCGUGUUUUUCCCAGGCGCCGCUUCUGGCACGCAUUGUAAAUCUUAACUGUAAUAAAAUAUAAUUUUGUAGAUUAUCAAUAAUUAUUGUACUAAUGUAUGCUCGUAUACUCUGUAAAAUAAGUUGUAUAUUUUGGGUUUAGUUUUGGCGAGUGAAUACUUGUUUUUAUUUCUGAUUGUAAAUUCUGCUGAUAAAAAAUUAAAUAAAACCGGUUACUUUGUGGAA
Long non-coding RNA from Anneissia japonica, 4463 nucleotides. RefSeq lists it as uncharacterized. Lineage: Eukaryota; Metazoa; Echinodermata; Crinoidea; Comatulida; Comatulidae. The transcript is spliced from 2 exons. The record is from RefSeq and is a predicted model, not a curated record.